RNAcentral lists this ribosomal RNA (448 nucleotides) under uncultured bacterium. Its description in RNAcentral is "partial 16S ribosomal RNA". It matches the Rfam family "Bacterial small subunit ribosomal RNA", at positions 329 to 794 of the family's 1533-position model. The record is from RNAcentral.
UUCCAGACUCCUACGGGAGGCAGCAGUGGGGGAUAUUGCACAAUGGGGGGAACCCUGAUGCAGCGACGCCGCGUGGGUGAAGAAGCGCCUCGGCGCGUAAAGCCCUGUCAGCAGGGAAGAAAAUGACGGUACCUGAAGAAGAAGCCCCGGCUAACUACGUGCCAGCAGCCGCGGUAAUACGUAGGUGGCAAGCGUUAUCCGGAUUUACUGGGUGUAAAGGGCGAGUAGGCGGGAUUGCAAGUCAGAUGUGAAAACUAUGGGCUCAACCGAUGGAGUGCAUUUGAAACUGCAGUUCUUGAGUGAUGGAGAGGCAGGCGGAAUUCCCGGUGUAGCGGUGGAAUGCGUAGAUAUCGGGAGGAACACCAGUGGCGAAGGCGGCCUGCUGGACAUUAACUGACGCUGAGGCGCGAAAGCGUGGGGAGCAAACAGGAUUAGAUACCCGUGUACA